This 718-nucleotide long non-coding RNA is filed under the name Vigna radiata. RNAcentral's name for it is "long non-coding RNA (VRAD_LNC009055)". The record is from RNAcentral. Lineage: Eukaryota; Viridiplantae; Streptophyta; Magnoliopsida; Fabales; Fabaceae.
CUUUGUGUUAUGCUUCAGUUGAGGAAUGCCCAAUCUGCAUCUUUAGACACCGUGCGGAGACACUCCUUUAACUGCUUGAGGUAUAAGACGGUCCUGUCGACGCACGUUUGAUAAGCAAGAUUCGGAGUUGGAGGUACAACGGUGGUGGAGAUCGUCAUCGGCAGGAAAUGAUUCAUCUGGAUAUUUGAGAAGAUCAUAGCCAUCAAGAAGAGCUUCAACUAAUUUAAGGACAGAAGCUUGGUGACACUGCUAAGGGUGAUGCAAGUGAAUGGUUUUGAUGGCUUAUGAGGGUUGCUAACCGAUGAAGAGUUGUUGUUGGCCAUGGAAGGCAAAAAGAAAGGAAGGAGCGACGUCCUGUGUUGAAGAUAAAACAAAAACGAAACAUCCAUGAACAAAUAAAAAGAUAAAAGACAUCAGAUGAAAAAGAGACUUUUAGGGGGUCGCCGGUGGCGGCGGCCAUAGGCCACCGACAACAAUAAAGACAUAGUAGAAAAGGAUCAGAAAACCUGCUCUGAGACAUUAUCAAAUUUUUUAUUCCAAAUAAAAAAAGAAAUUGUUUUACAAAACUUGCAAUUAAAAUGGUUUGAUUUUCAAAUUAUAAUCUAAAGUUACUUUGUUAUUAGAUAGUGUUAAAACCAUAUUUUCGAACUAGUGCAGUAUUAAAAUUAGUAUAAUUCAAUUUCAAAUUGAUAGUUAAGUUAAAAUUAGUACAAUUUAC